This 2726-nucleotide unclassified non-coding RNA is filed under the name Sitophilus oryzae (rice weevil). RNAcentral's name for it is "tyrosine-protein phosphatase non-receptor type 11- like, transcript variant X2". The record is from RNAcentral. Lineage: Eukaryota; Metazoa; Arthropoda; Insecta; Coleoptera; Curculionidae.
AUCACUUUUUGGUUAUCUCCCGUAGAAGUAAUUCCAAGAUGGCGACAAAGGUUAAAGUUGGUUUUUCCCUGAUUUAAUGCUUUUUUCCAAUAUUAAAUGCACCAAUAUGAGUUCCCGAAGGUGGUUUUGGCCCACUAUCAGUGGAAUUGAAGCUGAGAGGGUUUUAAUGAAAAGGGGCGUUGAUUGCAGCUUCCUAGCUCGACCUAGUUCCUCAAAUCCCGGCGAUUUCACCCUGUCUGUCAGGCGUAAUGGUGAAGUUACUCAUAUUAAAAUCCAAAACUCUGGAGACUUUUACGACCUGUAUGGUGGUGAAAAGUUUGCAACGUUGUCAGAGUUAGUUCAGUAUUACACAGAAAAACAGGGACAACUUAAGGAGAAAAAUGGCGAUGUUAUUGAGCUAAAAUAUCCAUUGAAUUGUGAUUGCCCUACAACAGAAAGAUGGUUCCAUGGACAUUUGUCAGGCAAAGAAGCCGAAAAACUAAUACUAGAUAGAGGAAAAAACGGCAGUUUCUUAGUCAGGGAAAGCCAGUCCAUGCCCGGCGAUUUCGUUCUUUCGGUAAGGACUGACGACAAAGUGACUCACGUAAUGAUCAGGUGCACUUCGGACAACAAAUACGACGUUGGUGGUGGAGAACAAUUCAACACCCUAGCCGACUUGAUAGAGUACUACAAGAAGAACCCUAUGGUUGAAACGUCAGGAACGGUAGUUCAUCUAAAACAACCCUUCAAUGCCACCAGAAUCAACGCUUCUGGCAUACAUUCCAGGGUAAAACAGCUACAGUCUGAGAAUGGACCAAAUAGUUUUGGAAAGGCUGGAUUCUGGGAAGAGUUUGAAUCACUGCAACAGCAAGAAUUUAAACACUUGUAUUCCAGGAAGGAAGGCAGCAAAGCUGAAAAUAGAAAUAAGAAUAGAUACAAAAAUAUAUUACCAUUUGAUGAUACAAGGGUGAAACUAAAAAACGUAGACCUCAACGAAGCGGGUGCAGACUACAUCAACGCCAACUAUAUUAAAUGGAAAUCAGACGACACCAUGGGCGGAGAACUUGGGGCCGACCCCAGCGGAAAGGUCUACAUCGCCACGCAGGGUUGCCUACCCUCCACGGUGGCCGAUUUCUGGCAAAUGGUGUGGCAAGAAAAUUGCCGCGUGAUAGUCAUGACUACCAAAGAAACAGAGAGGGGCAAAAAUAAGUGCGCUAGAUACUGGCCUGAUCAGAAUGGUUCGAAAGGGUAUGGGAAUAUAGUGGUUAAGAACUUGAUUGAGUCCUCUACGCCGCACUAUACUCUGAGGGAGUUCAUGGUUACUAUGGAAGGUUCGAGUGUUGAACGAAAAGUUUUCCACUAUCAUUUUACUGCCUGGCCAGAUCAUGGAGUUCCUUCAGACCCAGGAUGCGUUCUGAACUUUCUUCAUGAAGUUAACAAACGUCAAGAGCAACUACAACAAGAACUACCCAAUACCCAACCACCUGGAGCCAUUUUAGUCCACUGUUCAGCAGGUAUUGGUAGAACCGGUACUUUUAUAGUCAUAGACAUGAUCUUAGAUCAACUGAAAAAGUACGGUCUCGAUUGUGAAAUUGAUAUUCAGCGUACAAUUCAGAUGGUCAGAUCGCAGCGGUCUGGCAUGGUCCAGACAGAAGCUCAGUAUAAGUUCGUGUAUUUAGCUGUGCAACAUCACAUAGAAACGACGACUGAAAGAAUGAAGGCUGAACAAAAAUCAAUACAGUCCGGUAGAGAGUAUACCAACAUUCGGUACAGCAGUGAUAUGGGUAGUUUAGGCACAGCCCUUUCUGGAAGUUUAGGGAAUGUCGGUUCACUCGGUAGGCCAGUAAGCACGCCCCAUUUUCCACAGUCACCCAGUCCGGUGGUUUUGAGGCCUGAAGCGAAAAAACCACCUAGAAUAGUGUCGGAAAUACCACUUCCCAGGCUCAUAUUAGAUGUUGAGUGUCGUGUAUAGCGUAGUAAUCCUCUUAUUUGACGACUGAGCUGUGGUGGCAAGCUGUCAAUCGAGUUACCUCCCGAAGAGAUGAUCAAGCCGAUGCUGUACGAGAACAUUCCCAGCAACUCGGGGGCGCACGCGUGUCCCGCCCCGCCCCCUCCGCCGCGCAAGACGUGACGUCAGAGCUUCUUUUAAACGCGCACAACGUGUACCUUCUGCGGCAACGACCUCUGCCGGCAGAGCAUUGAACUAUUUCACUGUAUCAAAUCCAAAAAGAGAGAGAAAGAGAUAUAUUCGGUGUUUUAACGACGAUCAUCAAUAUGAAGCUGUGUGAUAGGUAUUAUUUAUUGGGGCUUUACGAAGGAUUUAGUCCCUUAACUGUACUAUUAUAGAUAGGUAUUUACAGUGUGUAAUGGGCAUAGCGUUCGCAUCAAAUAGUAGUUUUUUCCUAAUGAUAGGGAUGUUAACUGUUAAUGUAAUGUAAAUUAUUUAUUCAGGUUUGACUUAAGGAAGGAGCUAUCAUUAUUUUCUUUUGUUUUCAGCUUGUUCAACCAUUUCCAAUUAUAGUGUAGCCUCUCUCACAUAUUUAGAUACUCUCUUUGUAGUUGGGCCCAUUGUUGUCUAUUGUUGGCUCUGCGGACCCAAGUUAUCCCUACUAAUUUCCUAACAUCAUUGUCGUUUAGUACAAACGGCAACGUUGUUUAAAAUCCUAAUUCGCAGAAAUACAAAACUAUAAUAAUAUGGCGUCUAAGUCGCGUUUUAUCCUAAAUUGGGAUAAUUAUAGUAAACAUAU